Prionailurus viverrinus (fishing cat) is the source of this 8729-nucleotide long non-coding RNA. RefSeq lists it as uncharacterized. The transcript is spliced from 6 exons. The record is from RefSeq and is a predicted model, not a curated record. Lineage: Eukaryota; Metazoa; Chordata; Mammalia; Carnivora; Felidae.
UGCCCACCACCAUCAGCUCCUGCUCUGUGGCCUUCCUCCGGAAGCGCUGCCACACGUCGAUGGCAAACAAGGUGCUGCUGCUGUUGAAGAUGGAGGUGAGUGAGCUCAUGAGGGCGGCCAGGAUCACGGCGAUCAUCAGGCCCCGCAGACCUGGGGAGAGGCGAGGUCUCCCGUGAAGGCCAGCUCCGCAGAGCCAUGGAGGCUGCAGCGUCAGGCGGAGCCGGGAGUCUGGGGGUGGUGCUGGCCCUGCAUGAGGUCCCCCUCCAUGCAGAUAAGGAGUCCAGGAAAACCAGAGGCCGGCUUCUGGAUAAGCUCUGCCUUCGCCCCGCUCUGCCCUCUGCCCUGUUCUAUGGCCUUGGGCAAGCCAUCCCAUCUACCCUGCCCAGUGCCAGCUCCCUUAUCUGCAUCCCUAAGAGCCGUGCGGCUAAGUGGUCCUUCAGGUUCUCUGCAGCUUUGACGUCUCAGUCUGGGCGUCAGAGCCUGGAGACACUUGGUUAGUGGGCCCCUGAUGGGGAGGAGGGUGACGGUUAAUAAUUGAGUGUUUUCAGUUUUUGUUUUCACCGACAUUGAGGUGCCAGGUUAAAGCCCUCGCCUAGGACAGGUGGCCCUGGGAAGCCCUGGAUUUGUUUCCUGGUUCUGCAAGUAACCAGGCCUGGGUACCAGCCCACCUCCUGAAAGCCUAUGGAGAGAGACCACAGUGAGCGACACAGCCCCGAGACCCCAGUGGACCUGUCACAUGCCCCCACCCCACCUCCCAGUCCCAUGUGGAGCCCCGGGGCUUGGAACUGGCACCUGCACCCCAACGCGACCCGCCCUUGGCCUUACCUGCAAUGGUGUAGACAGCUGUCACCACCAGAAGCAUCGCCGUGGAGAGGUAUAGGUUCCAGCCCAAAGCGAUCUGGAUGAACAGGGCUCCAGAGAAGAUGUCAGUCUGCAGAGAGCCGGGACCCAGGAGUCCAGGUCACCUGAGGCCCUUGCUGUGGCCACCAGGGUAUGAUGCCUCCUGCUCAGCCAUACCAAGUGCUGUCAGCCCUCAUCACAUAAUGAGCCUGAGCCUAAAGUGCCAUGCUGAGGAGAAUGGGCUUGGCCUCGGGGAUGCUGAGGAGCCGUGGAGAUUUUCAGGCAGAGGAGCACCGCAUAAAACUUUGAAACCGAGAGCAAUGAGGUCUGGUGGCACUGAUGGGAUAGUCUGUGGGCCGUGAUGGCAGGGGAGAAGGAAUGAAGAGAAGACAGAGGAGAGGAAGUGGGGAGCAGGGGUUGGAGAAGAGAGAGCAGGCACCCAGAGGCCUUUUCCCUAGCAGAGCAGAGGCCCACCCAGCUGCCAGGGGGCCCACGCUGACCAGACCGGCAGGAGCCCCAGGACAGAUGACCGCACUUCUGGAGGCUCUACAUGUUUGGGUUUAUUAGAGGACCCGGCUGACCAGACAACAUGCUGACUUAGGCUUGUUUUCCAGCAUUGGUGGACAAGUGGCUGUACCAUUUUUCCCAUCUCUCGACCUGGCAACUCGUGGACUCAGUCCCCUUCAGUGCCUGCUUGCUGAUCCCAUUGCAUGGCUGUUUCAUGAACCCAUCCCAGGGCUACAACAGGACGGAGUGCCAGGAUGCCUGGACCGGGUCACAGGACCCAAACUUUAGUUCAGUCCCACAGCUCUAUUCUGUGUGGACAUGGGCGAACCAUUUGCCCUAGGUACUUCUCAUUCAUCUGUGAUCGCUCCACUGCUGAGGGACAGCAUGCAUUGAAGGGAGAAAAGAUGGCCACAUUGCGGUGGGUACUCACUGAAAUCUUGGUGAAGAUGUAGAGGAUGAGAGACAGGACAGACAUGUACACCUGGAUCCUCUGGCCCCCGAAUCGCUUCUUCAGUAUAGGAAACUGAGUCCCGAGAAGAGACAUGUUUAUUCCAAGCCACAAAGUGGGGCCGGAAUUCACACUCCUGCCUUGUGCUGUGACAGAUGAGUGAUCCUGGGAAGGACACGGAGCACGCCGGAUCCAGGGAAGACCAGCUGCCCCAGGGCCCAGGCAGACUGCUAGUCCCAGCAGCCCAGCCCACUGAGCUGCAGAGUGACCAUGGACAGGUCACUAAGUGACUCCGGACCUGGGGUCCCGUCAGCGUGGCCUAUACCCUGCCCACCUCGCAGGGCCAGUGAGUGCCGGUCCUCCUAUCCUCCCCUCCGGAAGUUACCCUUAGGGUUCCACUGCCCACACGCCCUGUCCCCCAGCCCCAUCCUCACAGACACCCAAUGCCAAGCCCUCACCCUGCACAUUUUACCUAACCUAAACCAGCAGGCUGGGCCCAUAGCAGCCAUCCCUCUGAUGCAUCUGAGACCCAUCUGUUAGCCAGCCAGACAUCUUAACAGCCCAGUGCCAAGAGAGUGCCAGGAAGGAAGUGAGAGAGGUUUUGAAACCUUCAGAAUAGACUCUGUGAAGCUUAUACAUGAAGGCCACCUGCUGACGCAUCGGUGAGCCCCAGAUCCCCCACUCAGGGCCUGUCUUGUUUUGCUUCGCCUAGAGUGUUAUUUUGUGCUGCAGCUCACAGCAAAUUAAAAACAACAACUUAGUGGGAGAGAGACUGCCAGAGGCGUGCAGGGCAUUGCAGGGCCAUGGGGGGCAGAGGGGGACGGCCACUGAUGGGUGCACAGCACAUGGGCGUCCUGAUAACCAGGGAAAGUGGAAAGGAUGACGUAAGAGAGGCCAAAUUAGAGCGAACAACCUAGGAAUCAGGCUCCAUCAAUUUUCAGCCGAGGCCAUUCCUGAACGCCAGCUGAGGAUUCAUAUGCAAAGCAAUGACCCAGAGUCACUGAGGAAAGAUCGCACCGUGCCCAUUAUGGAUUUUCUAUUUAGCAUGGAUUAUGAAAUCCAGACAGGAAGAGUUUCAUCCAAAAUGGUUUGACAUUUGAGGCAGGUGCUGGCAGGCCAGGAGGAGGCCCCACUUAUGCAGGAAAUCCUCUCGGAGAACCCCCGAGACGGAGGAUGUGGUGGUGUUGUGGUUCUUACAGUAAGUGCGCACCUGUUCCGCACCUGGCUCUGGGGGCCCCCGGGAGGCCGACCAGCGUGCUGCCAGGCUGGCCGGAAAACAGCCGGGCACACGGGACAGGCGCCUUCAGCACAAGGCAUGUCAAGAUUCACCCCCCUCCCUCUGAGCUGCAGAGUUCCGGGAAGGAACGACCGAGUCCAGUUGGGGAGGCGGGGCGGGCUCUCCGGGGAAGCGCAGCAGAAGUAGCAGGCUGAGAGGGUGGAGAGAAACCAAACAAGCUGGCCUGGCAGCCAACCCUGGCAGGGUGGGAGCUGCAGGGACAGUGUUUACAUGAAGAUACAAGUGUUGAAUAACAGCGUCGGACAAUGCAGUUUCUGAGGAGUAUCUGAACCGAGGCUGCGUUUUCAGAGUUACAGCAGCGGCAGGGACUGUGUGGCCGAGUUUCAGUUGGGGGGCGACAGAAGAACUACAUCCCCCUGGACCAGCUGUUUAGGUCAGUUGCUUCACAAGGUUGCUUUUAGGGUCCGGCUCCCUGCGUUCUCUUUAUUCCGUGUGUGUGUGUGUGUGUGUGUAGUUUGCAGUAGGUAGACCAGGAACCUCACUCCUGGCAUUCACAGCUGGCGUCUCCCUUAGGCUUUAGGCUGUGCCGUCGCUGAAGACUCUGGAAACCAGGGUUCUGCUUCGACUCCUGGGGCCAGCUACUUCUCUAGCCUUAUGGCCUUGUCUUCGGAGGUCACCACCCAAAGUGUCAGUUCCCUUGGACAGCUCAACUCUCCCCUCCCUAUCCUUGCCAUGCUAUGUUUGCGCAGCCCCUUGCCAACCUCCUGCCACUCCGCUCAUGUCCAGCCAUGCACAGGGCCCAUGCCCGUGGCCUCUCUACCCUCAAGCUCCUCACUGGCAGACUGUCCACAACUGUCACGGUGUCCAGGUUGUCCCACGGGCAGCCUGCUCACGUGAAGGCUCUUCCUCCCCUCGUGCCCUCAGAGUUUGGGUCGGAAUCCUUGCUGCUGCACGUAACCGGAUGUGCUUCCUGGAAGGGCCACGCUGCCCCUCGUCCCCAGGUCUCCUAUGUGCCGGGUGCUCCCCCACCAUCCUUUCCCUGAAGACUUCGCUGACUCCCUAGUCUGGGGAGUGUCCCCAAACCCAACCUGUCCCCCCCAUUCAUCUCACUGAUGUGGGCUUACUAGAUGUGAGCCCCUCAAGGGAUCUGGGUACCUCAUUCCCAUUCAUGUCCCUAACGAGCGACUGGCACCAAGUCCGUGCUUAAAGAGUGGAGAAUGGUUUUCAAAGACUGUGUUGGGGUGAGAGGCACAGUGGGCAGUGAGCAGAAGCAGACAGGUUCUCCAGGCAGAAGGAGGCAGGAACAUGGCAGGGGAGUAUAAGCAGGUGUGGGGUGUUCGGGGAAUGGCUUGUUGUGGCUGGGCUGCAGCCUAGGGUCUGGAGGGAGAAUCUGGGCAAGGGGCAUGAGAAGAAAGGGAGUGGUGAGACUGGCAUUCUAGAAAAUCCCUCUGGGGGCCAGCGUGGGGGCUAGAUGAGGAUGAGGAAGCUGGCACAAGAGAUAAGGUGGAGACUGGCAUCUAGUUAGAAGGAUGGAGAGGAAAGGGUCCUGGCUGCGUUCUUACCCAACUGGGAAACAUGUGGACCUUUGUGGCUUUCUCUCCCGUGGGGUCCCUGUCCCAACCAUGGUGCCAGGGUUCAGGACCCUCCAUGCUGGGUGGCCCUUCCCUUCAACUCCCAGUGCCUAUAAACCCUCAUCCCCGCCACUAAGCCACGAAUGGGAAACAACCUUCAGAUUGUUCCAUUCCCAAAAGGACCAACAUUGUAGCCAGGGUAGGCAGGGUGGGAAGACUUUGGCUAAGGGAAUGACAGAUGAUGAGAUCUUGAGCACGAGCCAUGAAAUGCUGAUGGUACAAAGUGGGCUGGGACCCCCAAAUCCACCGCGGAACCAAGAGUUUUCCAUGUAGAAGGGAACCUCCCCUCCCUAUACUGUCUGGGUACCCCCAUCUCCUCCAGCACCCUAGGAAGCCCCCGGAAGAACCCUGGGCAGGCUCACUGGUACCUCUGGCUGGCCUCGCCCUGGCUGCUUGCAGGUUCUUCCUGAAAAACCACUCUUGGCCAGCCUUCCUGCUGAGAACUUCCUCUUCUGAGAACAAUACGGGGUAAGGACUAAAUUUGCCAGUAUGUGCCAGAAAUAUUGGGUAGGUCACAGCCCAAAUAUGAGUGCCACUAUUAUAGUAACUGUAGGCAUUGGCCUCAUGAUUCCUAUUUUGCAGCUCAUUGGGGAUGUGACAUAAUUAUGGCUUAUUUGGAUUUUGAAUUCGGGCUUGACUCACUCCAAACACUGUUACAUACUGUCCUUUUUCUCCUAAUCCUAUGUCUACGGGGGCAGACACGGAAGAUGUAUCCCGUCGGAUGGAGGGGUAGAAGUCAGUUCCGUGUGGCUUCCUCUAAUGGGAGCUCUGAGCAGGGCCCAAAGACGGCUGGACUGGGGACGGGAACCCACUGGGGUCCAGAUCUGGUUCCAGAGACCUCAGCCCCUUGCCUGCACCCCAGCCCUCAGCCACCCUUCCUUCCCUAGCCACCUCUGCCCUGUCCCCACCACCACUCUAGCUCUCAGCUCAAAUGGCUCAUGAUCCCCCCUCCCCUGUCACGUGCCUAUGAUCUGAUCAUUUCAAACCCAAAUGCAAUUCCAUCUGAUUGACCCCAGCCACUCCGUGAGCACACUCCUUGCAAGGCCCUUUGUCAGGGCUGUCUCACUGCACAGCUCCAGGGACACCUCUCCCCCAGGAUGCAGCAUCAGUGGUUCCCCCGGCCUUACGGAAGGCUGUGCUCUCUGCAGUGGGGAGACGGAUGUAAGCAAGGCCUCUUAAUUCCAAGAGGAAAGGAUUAUUACAUAGGAAGAGCAGACCGAGAAAGGUGGUGACAGAGCCCCAGGGAAAGAGAAAAGACAGGAAAGAAAAAGAAGAGGUUUACAGGCUCCAGUCACCACACAUGUAGUCCUGUCAGACGGGGCCGACCCCUACCUGUGCCGCCGGCCUCACAGAACCUGCUGGGGCCACUCCCAGCCUCACACUCCCGGGUCUGCUCUGCUCUGGCCUGGCCUCUGACAGCUCCAGUCCAGGUGGUGGAUGAGACCUGGCCCCUCCCCCAGGGAGGGGGCGGGGGAAAGCCCCAAAUCUCUCUCCAGCUGCUGGGCCGGGUUCCGAGGGACCUCCCCUGUCCUUGCUGCUUGAUGUUGUCUCGGGAAAAGAGAAUUUGUGCUGCACUCAGGGUUCUAGGGGCCCCCAGGGCCAGAUGUGGAAGACCACAGCUCAGAGUUAGCUUCUGUGGCUGCUGUGGCCACUGUCAGCCAUCUGGCUAGACAGGUUUCCCAAGACAGGAGGUGAGGCAGGGCUGGCACUAGAAACUUGGGCAUCCUUUGGAGCUUGGGAGGGUCUCAGGAUGGGUCACAGGUGUGGCUGGCACACCCACACACAGCCCCCACACACAGCUCGUGCACAGGUGUGGCUGGCACACCCACACACAUGCCUGUGCACACACACACAGCUAGUAGCUUGUCUAGGAAACACUGUGGAGUCGUCACAAGUACACAGAAUCUCAAGUCCUAUCAGCUCAGGCUCAUUUAGGUGCCUCCAUGCCCUGGCAAAGCCCUUCACCUUUCUCAGCCCCCUUUUCUCUUCUGUAACUUAGAGAUAGUGACUAUCUCACAAGUGGUUGGAAGGACGAGUUAACACAAUGGAUUUGAAAAUGUUUUAUAAGCUGCCAAGUACAGUGCCUCUGGGAGGCAUCACUGUUAGCUGAGUCCCUGCAGGAUUUCAGCCUCAGUCGUGAGUCCCUGUGGCCAGACUUGGGGAAAGUAAGAGAGUCACAGAUGAGUCCUGGUUCCGCUGCUCACUAGCUACACUGAUGGAAGAAUUAUUUAACCCACUAAGCACACAAUUUUACAUCUGUAAAAUGAGGUAAUGAUAUGCUGGAAAAACAGGAGUGAGGGAAAUGAAACGAGAUAAUGUGUAUGUAAUGUGAUGCUGAACUAUGAGAUGAUGGACUAUUUCUGUCUCAUUUUUGGCUGAGGUCCAACGGGUGAGACCGAUCUAACAGGUGCCUAUCCUCCCCCACACCUUCCCCUGCCCCCAACCCUCCUGCCGUCUAGAUGUGAGACAGAACUCCUAGGGAGCCUUGCUACCGUGACCUUGGCAGUGGGGGGAGCUCAGUGUACCUACUGCCCCCCCCCAACCACCGCCACCCCUCAGCAUCGAACACUGUGCUCACCCUGAAGUCCACUGGCCCCAACCACUCCUGGCCAGUGGCUGAGUGUGGCUGACACUGUACCUGUCCCUUCCUGUGGGAGGUGUGGCUCAUAUAAUGGGCAUUUCUGCCUGGAGGACUCCAAGGGCCAACCAAAACCUUCUUAGACCUGCCUGGGAUCUCUUCCCCUUUUUCCUCCCAGUUAUUCCUGCUUCCUCCCCUUUGUCCUCUCGUCUCCAGCUGAUUUCUUGCCUGUCCCAUCCCGUCUCUGUGACAGCUUCUCAGAGGACCCGUGUAUGCGCCAUCCCUGGCCAUCCAUCUGCAGCCUGUGACAGAGUGGCUGCUCCAGGGCCAGCUGGGGAAGUGGCCGUUGCUUUGGAAAGGGUUGUUAGAGGCAUGUGUCCACCCUGCCUCACUUUCCCUCAGGUGGGGAGGAGGCCAGUCCUGUCACCCCCAGCAAGCAACAGACAAGAGUUUCAGAGGGUCUGUGGCAGAGCUUAAAUGUGUCCCAGGGCCUGGUGAUUUACAGGCAGGAGGUGGUCUAGGCUGGGGGUGUUUUGAAAAGCGGAAGUGGGCCAAGCAGGGAGACAGGCAGGGUCGGGAGCACAAAAUACCGGACAGUGACCUUUGGGCUCGUGGUCUGGGCAGACAGGACUAAGGGUCUUUAAGGCCAUCACCCCCACACUUGCUCUUCCCAGCACUGCAGACGGCCAUCUGACUGGCACAUUUCUCCUUUUCCUCCCUCCUCUCCUCUGGACUCCCAGGCUAGUACAGGAGUCACAGGCCCUGUACUCCCAGGCCAGCACUGCCUGCACCACGCUGUGUCCCCCACAGACAGUGGGUGCCUCUGGGCAGCAGCGGUUCUGACAGGCCCCUGUGACAAAGACCCUGAGUCCCCGGACCAGAGAAAGGUCACCAGGAGGAUGGGGACUUCCUGGCAUCAGAUGUCUUCUCCGCAGACAUUGGUCUUUAGGAGGAACCAGAGCACAAUCCAAGAGUGAGGGGCUGGGCCCAAGUGGCAGCAGACAGCAGAGGACAUAGGUCUGGCCUAGUGUCCCAGGAGCUGUUUCUACUACCAGCAUGUUUGUGAUCCUCGACACGUAGACCCACACGUCACCAUGCCAUUAUGGGCCCCUGUAUCCUCAUCUGUGAAAUGAGAGGUCAUUUCUAAUGACCCUGCAACUCUAAAGGGCUAUCAAAUUAUCCACCGAGUCCCCUCUAGCCUUUCGGUUCUAAGAGUCAUGGAGAAAGUGGCAUCCAGUCAGAGCUGUGGUUGGAAACCAGAAGAUUGAGGGCUCCAAGUCUACAGGCGUUAAGGUCAGGCACUCCUGGGCCCCAGGCCUGGCCCUGGCACUCAUCAGUGUGUGUGGUUGGCUGGCUUGCUUUCUCUCUCUCAGCCUCAGUUUCCUUGUAUGUGAAAUGGGGCAACAAAGUGUGCCUUGCAGGGUCAUCCCGAAGUAGAGGGUGAGUAUGUAAAGCACAGAGCACUGGGCCUGUCACAGUGAUGCCCUA